UGGGGAAUAUUGGACAAUGGGCGCAAGCCUGAUCCAGCCAUGCCGCGUGGAUGAAGAAGGCCCUAGGGUUGUAAAAUCCUUUCGCUAGGGAAGAUAAUGACGGUACCUAGUAAAGAAGCCCCGGCUAAUUUCGUGCCAGCAGCCGCGGUAAUACGAAAGGGGCUAGCGUUGUUCGGAAUUACUGGGCGUAAAGCGCGCGUAGGCGGCCUACCAAGUUAGAGGUGAAAUCCCGGGGCUCAACUCCGGAACUGCCUUUAAAACUGGUAAGCUAGAGGAUGUGAGAGGAGUGUGGAAUUCCGAGUGUAGAGGUGAAAUUCGUAGAUAUUCGGAAGAACACCAGUGGCGAAGGCGACACUCUGGCGCAUUUCUGACGCUGAGGCGCGAAAGCGUGGGGAGCAAACAGGAUUAGAUACCCCCGUAGUCC
RNAcentral lists this ribosomal RNA (424 nucleotides) under uncultured prokaryote. RNAcentral's name for it is "bacterial SSU rRNA". It matches the Rfam family "Bacterial small subunit ribosomal RNA", at positions 355 to 796 of the family's 1533-position model. The record is from RNAcentral.